This 387-nucleotide ribosomal RNA is filed under the name uncultured bacterium. RNAcentral describes it as "bacterial SSU rRNA". It matches the Rfam family "Bacterial small subunit ribosomal RNA", at positions 370 to 772 of the family's 1533-position model. The record is from RNAcentral.
AAUGGGCGAAAGCCUGACCCAGCAACGCCGCGUGAAGGAAGAAGGCCUUCGGGUUGUAAACUUCUUUGACCAGGGAAGAAGAAGUGACGGUACCUGGAAAACAAGCCACGGCUAACUACGUGCCAGCAGCCGCGGUAAUACGUAGGUGGCAAGCGUUGUCCGGAUUUACUGGGUGUAAAGGGCGUGUAGGCGGGAUUGCAAGUCAGAUGUGAAAUGCCGGGGCUUAACCCCGGAGCUGCAUUUGAAACUGUAGUUCUUGAGUGAUGGAGAGGCAGGCGGAAUUCCUAGUGUAGCGGUGAAAUGCGUAGAUAUUAGGAGGAACACCAGUGGCGAAGGCGGCCUGCUGGACAUUAACUGACGCUGAGGCGCGAAAGCGUGGGGAGCAAA